This 253-nucleotide ribosomal RNA is filed under the name uncultured bacterium. RNAcentral's name for it is "partial 16S ribosomal RNA". It matches the Rfam family "Bacterial small subunit ribosomal RNA", at positions 524 to 776 of the family's 1533-position model. The record is from RNAcentral.
UACAGAGGGUGCAAGCGUUGUUCGGAAUUAUUGGGCGUAAAGGGCGUGUAGGCGGUCUGCUAAGUCAUGUGUGAAAUCCCUCGGCUUAACCGAGGAACGACGCAUGAAACUGGCAAGCUAGAGUACCAAAGAGGGGGGUGGAAUUCCAGGUGUAGCGGUGAAAUGCGUAGAUAUCUGGAGGAAUACCGGUGGCGAAGGCGGCAUCCUGGACCGGCAUUGACGCUGAGGAGCGAAAGCCAGGGGAGCAAACGGG